AGCAAACGCUGGCGGCGUGCCUAAUACAUGCAAGUCGAACGAGGAAAGCUUUCGGGUGAGUACUAGUGGCGCACGGGUGAGUAACGCGUGGGUAAUCUACCAUCGAGUGGGAAUAACUAAUCGAAAGAUUAGCUAAUACCGCAUAAGACCACAGAAGCUACGGCUUCAGAGGUCAAAGGAGCAAUUCGCUUGAUGAUGAGCCCGCGUCGGAUUAGCUAGUUGGUAGGGUAAUGGCCUACCAAGGCAGUGAUCCGUAGCUGGUCUGAGAGGAUGAUCAGCCACACUGGAACUGAGACACGGUCCAGACUCCUACGGGAGGCAGCAGUAGGGAAUAUUGCGCAAUGGGGGGAAACCCUGACGCAGCGACGCCGCGUGAGUGAUGAAGGCCUUCGGGUCGUAAAGCUCUGUUGCAAGGGAAUAAGAAAGUGAAUGUACCUUGUGAGGAAGGGAUCGGCUAAACUUCGUGCCAGCAGCCGAGGUAAU
This 483-nucleotide ribosomal RNA is filed under the name uncultured bacterium. Its description in RNAcentral is "bacterial SSU rRNA". It matches the Rfam family "Bacterial small subunit ribosomal RNA", at positions 29 to 524 of the family's 1533-position model. The record is from RNAcentral.